GGAUGUGAGGGCGAUCUGGCUGCGACAUCUGUCACCCCAUUGAUCGCGAGGGUUGAUUCGGCUGAUCUGGCUGGCUAGGCGGGUGUCCCCUUCCUCCCUCACCGCUCCAUGUGCGUCCCUCCCGAAGCUGCGCGCUCGGUGGAAGAGGACGACCAUCCCAGAUAGAAGGAGUGUACCGUUCUUCGGUCAAGGGUAUACGAUAGCAAGGACUGCUCAACCUUUCCCAUUCCAGUUAUUUUUCUGCUCUGAAUGGUCUCCCUGGUGACUUCUGUCUUUCUAGGAAAAUGCUAUUUGUAUACAUUUGUGAAUAUUAUUC
Molecule: small RNA, 316 nt
Filed under: Pogona vitticeps (central bearded dragon)
Lineage: Eukaryota; Metazoa; Chordata; Lepidosauria; Squamata; Agamidae
Description: 7SK RNA (ENSPVIG00000022165.1)
Rfam family: 7SK RNA (bases 1-203)
About the family: 7SK was discovered as an abundant small nuclear RNA in the mid-70s but a possible function has only recently been suggested. Two independent studies have found that 7SK RNA binds the CDK9/cyclin T complex (known as elongation factor P-TEFb).
Source: RNAcentral